This is a long non-coding RNA of Macadamia integrifolia, 1022 nucleotides long. RefSeq lists it as uncharacterized. The transcript is spliced from 4 exons. Lineage: Eukaryota; Viridiplantae; Streptophyta; Magnoliopsida; Proteales; Proteaceae. The record is from RefSeq and is a predicted model, not a curated record.
AUUGCCUCACUCCCUCCACCUUGCCGCUAUUCUCUCUCUCUCCAAAUCUCCCUGUUGCUCUUGAACUCUUUCUCAGAAGUGAUCGUGAUUAGUACAAUAACCUCCAUUUCCUCUCGAAAUCCUCUCUCUUCUCUUUCUAGAUCUCCCUCUUGCUCUUAAACUUUUUCUCAGAAUGAUCGGAACAGAGGUUUGCUUGUAAGGGAAGGCGGAAUCCCUCCGUUGGUCGCUCUCUCACAGUCCUGAAGUGCCCGAGCGAAGCACAAGUGCGAACUACACAAUGGACAUACCCCAUGAGUUGGUGAUUCUUUUUGUAUCACAUAUGCAAUUGUUACAGAUGAGUUGAUACGAACUUUGAGUUUGGUUGUGCGACUCCACAGGCUGAAACAUUACUUGGGUAUCUGAGAGAACCGAGGCAAGAGGCAUCCUCUUCUAAUCCUGUGGAGAGGUAAUGAAAUUUCGGCAAUGGGUACUUGUGUUUUUAACUGUGUACAUUGCUGAGUGAGUGUUCUGAUAAUGGUUUUGUUUGUAAAGUCAGUGUACCAUGAACUGACUUGUAGGGUCAUCUAAACUAAAGAUUUUGAGUGUCCAUGUCUUGGUGGUUUCAAAAUGGAUUUUGGCUGUGAUCCUGGGUUUUGUCUUGUUUUGUUUGGGAGAGCCAAAUUUCUACUGAAACACACAAAAGAGGUUUGAUGGAGGCCUUUCAGUAGUAUCUAGUAGGGAAGUAGUGAGUCUGAGAGAGAACCGGAAGAAGGGGCCUUGAGUUAUAUUUCUGACAGAUUGUGUUGAGUGUGUUGGGGCGGUGUGAUAUAAUCAUUUAAAUGGUCCAAUGAAACCUUAACUACAUUUAUAAAUGUGUUGGGUGAGUUGUGUCUUUCUGUUGAUCUAUCCUUCCUCGUUGACCAAAUGAUUGGAUCCUCAUCCUAUCCAUAACAUUAACAUUGAAGGGCACCUCUCUUUCUGUUUUUUGCAUCUUUGUUUCGUGUGUGCACCAUCAUGUGAAUUGUUUGGGUUAUGGCUUUAUC